AACGUAGGAGACGAACGUUAUCCGGAGUUACUGGGCGUAAAGGGCGUGUAGGCGGUUUGUUGAGUCUGGCGUGAAAGCUCUCGGCUAAACCGGGAGAGGUCGUUGGAUACUGGCGAACUAGAGGAUGGUAGAGGCGUGUGGAAUUCCGGGUGUAGUGGUGAAAUGCGUAGAGAUCCGGAGGAACACCAGUGGCGAAGGCGACACGCUGGGCCAUACCUGACGCUAAAGCGCGACAGCAUGGGGAGCAAACGGG
Molecule: ribosomal RNA, 253 nt
Filed under: uncultured bacterium
Lineage: Bacteria
Description: partial 16S ribosomal RNA
Rfam family: Bacterial small subunit ribosomal RNA
Source: RNAcentral